UUUUAUAAUUCUUAUUAACAAAUGACGUCAGAAUAACACAUGUGAAAUAAUUCAUGUAAAGUUAAUUUCUAAAACAAACUACUUUGUCAGUCGUUUCUUUGCAAACGAGGAAAUUAACAUGAAAGUACAAGGUUUUUAUAUACCGUCAAUUUACGACUAUGCGCCUUUAACUUUCUGUUAGAUUUUCCGACAAUAUACUUAGUAAUGGCCAUCUGACGACUUAUUUAAUUUUCGUUUAAAACCAAAAUGGAACGGCGUACAGGUGGAUGGAUACUGUUACUGCUGGUGAUCUGUUUCACAUACAGCCAAGCCCGGUUGUGUUUCAUCUGUGGAUAUAACGCACCGACAGACGGGAAAGUGGGCAUCAAUUGUGUGAACGAUACUUCUAAAGCAAGUGUUCAUACCAAUUGCUCCAACGACCGGGUGUGUACAUUCGAUGUCCAGUUCCUCAAAAGUUCCCUCGAGUUAGUGUCAGUGACCCGGAACUGUCUUCCGUCAUCCGCCCCUCGUUCCAACACGUGCUUAGACGACUGGACACACCGACAGUGUACAUUUUCAUGUAAUACGGACUUGUGUAACAACUUGACGGCCCAGGAGCUCAACAAUCGAUACGGCGACAGGGGAGCGAACUCUGCACAUUCCUCGGUCGAAAUUAUCUCCCUUGUUUCCAGUUCUCUCGUGGUGUGCGCUGUUUGGAUUGUAAAGACACGGAUUAGUCUCUAAUUGGUGUAAGACAUAUUACGGAACCUUGUACAUCCGUAAUCCGGAAAUCAAGAAAGAACGUUGUCUAGAUAUUGAUAUUAGAUACAUUAUACACACUUCGAGGAAAGGGAGACAAACAGAAAAUAUGUUUCUCUUUCCAGUUACUACACAAUAUCCCACGUAAGGUUCUACAAUUAAUAAACUAUUAAUCAUACAUUAUUACAGCUCUUAAUCACCAAGUUAAAACAAUUGUUAGGAUUUGAAUAAUUACUAUUUUCCAAUCAGUUUUAUGUUAAUAAGUUUAAUCUUAUCUUUUUCAAAACAUGGAUUUUUUGAGGUAUCUUAUGUAUGUUAUACAUGUGUCCUACACUGGACAUUCACGUGAGAUUAAUAGCAUAUUUCGCCCCUUUUGGUUUAAUAAAGGGAAUCUCUUAUCAUGGCGAGGUGUAUCCACGUCUACCCUAAUGUGAUGUUCAUUUACUAUUUGUCCUGUUGGGUCGUAGAUAAGGAAUUUAGUACCAAGAAAGAAGAUUCCUAAGUUGUCAAACACGACGCUCGCCAAGUGUUUGGCAACUGCGGUAUCUUAAAAACUAUUAACUCCUUCCCGAAGGUGGAGAUUCUCCCGUUUUAUCCAAAAAGAAUUGGAUUAUUCUUUUUCUCUUAUCCUGUUUGCUCUGUCAUCUGUUCAAUGUUGACAUUGACGUUAAUCAAGCGAAUGUUGUUUGAUCAAUGAUAAUUAUAUGCACUGCAUCCUCUGUCUAUCGUAAACUUUUCUAUAAGGAUUGCCUCCCUCCAUUGAUAUUCAACACAUGUUUCUUAUGCGUGUUUGGAAUGUGUCCUUAAUUCUUUUAUUCUUCUUAUGUUUUGUCAAUCAUUUUGUGUACGUCUAACACGUGUCAUAAAUAUUUGCGCACGGUUGAAAAGCGUUAUAAAUUCUCUUAAACUCCUGAAAUGUGUCAUCAAUACUUGAAUUCCGCUCAAAUUUAUCCUCAGCGUUUGUUUAUUCUGUUAAUGUUCUCAAUUCAAUUAUAACAUCAAUUAAUAGAUUUAGUUUGAAUUACCAAUCUUACAUUAUGUUUUAGUGUGAAUCUCUCAUGGAUAUGAAAUGGAAGUCAGUUCAGACAGCAUAUGCCGUUAAAUAGGUUGUGAUGUGAAGUCACAAAGAGAAAACAUAUAUUCCGUUUGGGCUAGGUUCUUAGUUCUCGGUGCGUUUGACGCUGGAUUCACUUUAACUAUAACAUCUGAACGACUCACGAACACUUAUCUGGUGAAUUGAAUUCUAUAUUAUAAGAUAAGAAAUCGAUAUA
Molecule: unclassified non-coding RNA, 2009 nt
Filed under: Mizuhopecten yessoensis (Yesso scallop)
Lineage: Eukaryota; Metazoa; Mollusca; Bivalvia; Pectinida; Pectinidae
Description: uncharacterized LOC110452787, transcript variant X1
Source: RNAcentral